Molecule: long non-coding RNA, 317 nt
Organism: Alexandromys fortis (reed vole)
Lineage: Eukaryota; Metazoa; Chordata; Mammalia; Rodentia; Cricetidae
Exons: 3
Source: RefSeq, a predicted model, not a curated record
GAGAAAGAAGCUUAGUAAAGAGUCGCCAUGAUUCUCCCACUCCAGACAGACACAGGUUAAGAUCCUCCCUGCCCAUGUUUUUCAGAGAGCUUAAAGAAAUUGUUUGAUUCCCUAGCAGUAUGUUAUCAUCUAUUUUACUAGAGUUCCUCUGCUCUCAAUAAAACAGCAAUAUCAUAAACAACACCUCUGCCAAUCAGCCAGAGGGCCCAGCCAGUAAAGGUGAUGCUCUGGGUUCGAGCCCCACGAUCCACAUGGUGGAGGGAGAGAACUGAGUCCUACAAGUUCCGACUCUACCAGCUUUCUGUGGCCUGCCCCAC